Molecule: ribosomal RNA, 546 nt
Filed under: Sphaerobolus ingoldii
Lineage: Eukaryota; Fungi; Basidiomycota; Agaricomycetes; Geastrales; Sphaerobolaceae
Description: partial small subunit ribosomal RNA
Rfam family: Bacterial small subunit ribosomal RNA
Source: RNAcentral
CAAGAAUAUUAGUCAAUGCUCGCAAGAGUGAACUAGCUAACUGGAGUCACAUUUGUGUCAUUUGUGAUAAUGCAAGGGAAAAUCAUGAUAUUACCUUGCUACGAUAAGUGUUGUCAAAAGCUGGUGCCAGAAGACUCGGUAAGGCCAGAGACGCGAGCGUAAGUCAUCUUGAAAAGGCGUAAAGGGUAUGUAGGCAUCUUUGAAUCUCUUUUGGGAUAAAAUCAAAGAUAGAAUCAUAUAGAGGUCACAGACCAGAUAACUCUGUUUGUUAGGGAUAAAAUCUUUAGAUACACAGAGGAAUACUAAUUAGCGAAUGCUCUUUUCCAACUUAUGAUUGACGCUGAGAUACGAAGGGGGGGGCCGAAAAUAGGAUUUGAGACCCUGGCAUUCCUCUCUGUAAACGAUGAAUGGUAGUUGCUAGUUUAAGUAUUAGUGGCGAUGCUAACGCGUUAACCAUUCCGCCUUGUGAGUACGGCCGCAAGGUUGAAAACAAAAAAAUUAGUCGCUUUCGGAGCAAACGAAGUGAAGCAUGUUAUUUAAUUCGAU